UUUCUUUGGGUGUAUGGCAGGGAU
RNAcentral lists this non-coding RNA (24 nucleotides) under Rattus norvegicus (Norway rat). The record is from RNAcentral. Lineage: Eukaryota; Metazoa; Chordata; Mammalia; Rodentia; Muridae.